GGGGGGUUAGCUCAUUUAUAGAGCGCCUAUACUUGCACGCAGGAGGUGGUGGGUUCGAAUCCCAUACUCUCCACCA
This 76-nucleotide transfer RNA is filed under the name Mycoplasmopsis cynos. Its description in RNAcentral is "tRNA-OTHER". It matches the Rfam family "tRNA". Rfam says of the family: Transfer RNA (tRNA) molecules are approximately 80 nucleotides in length. Lineage: Bacteria; Bacillati; Mycoplasmatota; Mycoplasmoidales; Metamycoplasmataceae. The record is from RNAcentral.